AUCCAGCUGACGAGUCCUGAGUAGAACGAAACGUGCUUCCUGGAU
This is a non-coding RNA of Schistosoma mansoni, 45 nucleotides long. The record is from Rfam. Lineage: Eukaryota; Metazoa; Platyhelminthes; Trematoda; Strigeidida; Schistosomatidae.